AUGCCCGCCGACAAGCGCCCGCUCCCGCCGCCCGCCUCUGGCGACGACGGCUCCCACGGGCACGCCGCGGCCCGCCACGCCGCCGCCAGCCGCGGCCGGGGCGGGGCCUCGCAUGGGCCGUCGGAAGGCGGGCCCGCCGCGCGUCAGGCGAGGGCGCCGCCGGGGGAGCCGCACUACGGCGAUCCCGACGCGGAGGGCGGGCGCGGCGGAGGGUACGGGAGCGGCGACGAUAGCGACUCGUCUCUCAGCGCCGACGACGAUGACGACGGCGACGCCGAGUUUGUGCUCGUGAAAUUAGCAGAAAUCCGAAAAGAAGUCCAGUGCCCAAUCUGUUUAGGCAUUAUCCGGAAGACAAGAACGGUUAUGGAAUGUUUGCACCGAUUCUGCAGGGAUUGCAUUGAUAAAUCUAUGAGGCUAGGAAAUAAUGAGUGUCCAGCAUGCCGUACUCAUUGUGCAAGUCGACGUUCUUUGAGGGAUGAUCCUAAUUAUGAUGCACUUAUUGCAACCUUGUAUCCAGAUAUUGAUAAGUAUGAGGAAGAGGAACUUGCUUUCGGUGAAGAGGAGAGGACUCGGAAUAAGAAGAUUCAAGCAACCAUCGAGGAGAUGAUUCGAAAGCAGUCGGAGGCCCUCGGUAAGAAGCGUCCUACGGCAAAAGCUACUGCCAGUGCUUUUGCAAGGAAGUACAGGAGAAAUGUGCGUACCCGUGGGAGAGGUAGAACGGUUGCUCGUGAUAUUGCCCCUACUGGCUCUGAUGAUGAGGAUAGAGAAGAAGAAAAUGCUAAUGUUGAGAGCAAAGAGUCGCCUUCUCCUGAUAACCAGUCUCCAGAUUUAAGGCAGAGAAGAGGUAGAAAAAGGCCUGCACCAACACCUUCUCCUGCUAGAACCAUUGCCAGUAGUGACCACGGAUCUGAGGAGAAUGACGAAGUAGUAUCUCUAAAAGAAGGUUUCACCACCUCUCCAUUGCGGGGUGAGAUGCUCGCAUGGGGAAAAAAUGGCACAAGAAGCCAAACUCGGUACAACAAUGCUGGUGGAACAAACGGCAGGCUGGGGAAGGGUGGGCGUUUCGCGAAGUUGGUGGACCACCUCCGUGCAACUGAUGAAAACAAGGAGUUCAACUUGUAUCUUGUUCUUCUUCCUCUUGAUGGACAAACAACGCCUAACUUGGAAAAGCCCUAUCUAAGUUGUCGACCAAGGGUGUCCAUUCGACAUCUUCUACAGUUCAUUGCUCUUCAGUUGUCUCGGCAAGUUGAAGAACUUGAGAUGUAUAUAAGGGUGGACCUCCACAAUAGAAGUGUUGCAGUGAAGGACUCUGGUUCUGCUGAGACAAAACUGUCUCUCUUUGAUGGCUUGGAAAGAUUGAGGGAAGACAAGCUUCUGUUGGACCUUCACCCUUCAUUUGCCUCUGGUAAUGGUGAUCUGGAAUUGAUAUAUGCUCUGAAACGCCAAGGCUAG
This 1452-nucleotide ribosomal RNA is filed under the name Triticum aestivum (bread wheat). RNAcentral describes it as "partial small subunit ribosomal RNA". Lineage: Eukaryota; Viridiplantae; Streptophyta; Magnoliopsida; Poales; Poaceae. The record is from RNAcentral.